This 273-nucleotide ribosomal RNA is filed under the name Chaetoceros curvisetus. Its description in RNAcentral is "partial Bacterial large subunit ribosomal RNA". It matches the Rfam family "Bacterial large subunit ribosomal RNA", at positions 1271 to 1548 of the family's 2925-position model. Lineage: Eukaryota; Bacillariophyta; Thalassiosirophyceae; Chaetocerotales; Chaetocerotaceae. The record is from RNAcentral.
UGCUGGAGGUAUCAGAAGUGCGAAUGCUGACAUAAGUAACGAUAAAGCGGGUGAAAAGCCCGCUCGCCGUAAGCGCAAGGUUUCCUACGCAACGUUCAUCGGCGUAGGGUGAGUCGGCCCCUAAGGCGAGGCAGAGAUGCGUAGCUGAUGGGAAGCAGGUUAAUAUUCCUGCACCGUCGUAUGAUGCGAUGGGGGGACGGAUCGCGGAAGGUUGUCCGGGUGUUGGAAGUCCCGGUCCUUGCAUUGGAGAAGGCGCUCAGGCAAAUCCGGGCG